CCCUCCGAAAUAGGGAUUCCAGAAACGCAGGUUCCUGCCUCUCUGCCCGAGGUCUGGCAGAGCAGGUGGUCUCAGUGUGGUUUGAUGGAGGAGCAAAGGCAUUCCAGAUUCAGAACAGCUUCCUGUUCUGCUCACAGCAGCCUCAAAGUCGAUUGAAAGUUUCUGGCAAAAUACAAAUUAUUUCCUGGGAGGAGAGGGCAGUUCCCCUACAGUCUCUUGCCUGCCACCAUGUAAGACAUGCCUUUGUUCCUUCUUCACCUUCCGCCAUGAUUGUGAGGCCUCCUCAGCCACGUGGAACUGUGAGUCCAUUAAACCUCUUUUCUUUAUAAAUUA
Long non-coding RNA from Homo sapiens (human), 333 nucleotides. RefSeq lists it as uncharacterized. The record is from RefSeq and is a predicted model, not a curated record. The transcript has 2 exons. Lineage: Eukaryota; Metazoa; Chordata; Mammalia; Primates; Hominidae.